CACGUAGGCGGCUCUUUAAGUCAGGGGUGAAAUCCUGGAGCUCAACUCCAGAACUGCCCUUGAUACUGAGGAGCUUGAGUCCGGGAGAGGUGAGUGGAACUGCGAGUGUAGAGGUGAAAUUCGUAGAUACUCGCAAGAACACCAGUGGCGAAGGCGGGCUCACUGGCCCGGUACUGACGCUGAGGUGCGAAAGCGUGGGGAGCAAACA
This 208-nucleotide ribosomal RNA is filed under the name uncultured bacterium. RNAcentral describes it as "partial 16S ribosomal RNA". It matches the Rfam family "Bacterial small subunit ribosomal RNA", at positions 568 to 774 of the family's 1533-position model. The record is from RNAcentral.